CUACGGGGGGCAGCAGUGGGGAAUAUUGGACAAUGGGGGAAACCCUGAUCCAGCAAUGCCGCGUGUGUGAAGAAGGCCUGCGGGUUGUAAAGCACUUUCGGUUGGGAGGACUGCUUCUAGCACUAAUAUUGUUGGAAGUUGACGUUACCUUCAGAAGAAGCACCGGCUAACUCCGUGCCAGCAGCCGCGGUAAUACGGAGGGUGCAGCGUUAAUCGGAAUUACUGGGCGUAAAGCGCGCGUAGGCGGCCAGAUCAGUCGGGUGUGAAAGCCCCGGGCUUAACCUGGGAACUGCAUCCGAUACUGUCUAGCUUGAGUACAGGAGAGGAGAGUGGAAUUCCACAUGUAGCGGUGAAAUGCGUAGAUAUGUGGAGGAACACCAAUGGCGAAGGCAGCUCUCUGGCCUGAUACUGACGCUGAGGUGCGAAAGCGUGGGGAGCAAACAGGAUUAGAUACCCUCGUAGUC
Molecule: ribosomal RNA, 464 nt
Filed under: uncultured bacterium
Lineage: Bacteria
Description: partial 16S ribosomal RNA
Rfam family: Bacterial small subunit ribosomal RNA
Source: RNAcentral